AGAACGAACGCUGGCGGCAUGCCUAACACAUGCAAGUCGAACGAACCCUUCGGGGUUAGUGGCGCACGGGUGCGUAACGCGUGGGAACCUACCAUCAGGUUCGGAAUAACAGUUAGAAAUGACUGCUAAUACCGGAUAAUGUCUUCGGACCAAAGAUUUAUCGCCUUUUGAUGGGCCCGCGUUGGAUUAGCUAGUUGGUAAGUAAAAGCUUACCAAGGCGACGAUCCAUAGCUGGUCUGAGAGGAUGAUCAGCCACACGUGGGACUGAGACACGGCCCAGACCUCCUACGGGAGGCAGCAGUGGGGAAUAUGGACAAGUGGGACAAAGCCUGGAUCCAAGCAAUGCCGCGUGAGUGAUCGGAAGCCUUAGGGUUGUAAAGUCUCUUUACGUGGGGGAUAGAUAAGUGUAC
RNAcentral lists this ribosomal RNA (410 nucleotides) under uncultured soil bacterium. RNAcentral's name for it is "bacterial SSU rRNA". It matches the Rfam family "Bacterial small subunit ribosomal RNA", at positions 26 to 459 of the family's 1533-position model. The record is from RNAcentral.